Long non-coding RNA from Toxorhynchites rutilus septentrionalis, 4555 nucleotides. RefSeq lists it as uncharacterized. The transcript is spliced from 4 exons. NCBI's taxonomy places the organism in Eukaryota, Metazoa, Arthropoda, Insecta, Diptera, Culicidae. The record is from RefSeq and is a predicted model, not a curated record.
UUCAGCUGUCAUUAUGCUCUCAAAUGUCAUCAUAUUGUCAAUAAAGUUGACCGUGUAACGUCCGCUUUAGAUGGGAUCUUUCGCAAAGUCGAUAACGAGUAUCGAAGGAAAUUUUACAUUCUUGUGGCACUUGUCUAUCGCUGUGAAUAUUGAAUUGCAUUUCGGUUGAACUGUUGGCGAGUAUUUUCGGCAAUUGGCGGGUUACACAGUAUUUCCGAAAGAGUCGUGUAAAGAGCGACCCAAUGCAUUCCAGCUGUCGAGGUAAACACUUGAUUAUUUGGUAAAGAAUCGCUUCGAAAUGCAGCGGGUGAGAAAUUGCGUAGGAAAGAUUGUAAAUAAGUGAUGUGGCGAAUAAUGCUCCGAUCGAGUAUUUGAAUAUAGUCGGUUUGUUGCUGAAAGCGCACGAUGGUAAAAUGUUCAAUGUUGAUGUUUUGGACGACGAAUACUAUCUCUCGAAUGGACAGACGACCACAGGUCUGAUGAGAUUGAAAACAAGAUGAAAGUCGAAACAAUAAUGUUAAUCCCUAGGCAAAUGCAAUCCGACGAACAGCUAGUUCAAGCAGUGGAAGAAGCAAUCCUAAGUGUGACGCAAAGCGGCUUUACUAAACAAAUCUCAGGAGAAAUAGUUCGGUCGAAUUAGGUUUUAUUAUUAAAUUAUGUCUUGAAGCAGUAAAAUCGAUAAUCAAUUCCACCCGAACAUCUGGAACCAGAAUUAAACUUAUCAAAGUUUUUCAUUGGCAUGCAGUUUCCAGAUGCAAAAUUCCAGCGCUUGAAAUAUGAUACUUUUCGUCUGCUCGGAACUAUAAGCCCGAUGAUUGUCUGGCACGUGAAUGAACAGUGUUCUCUCCUGGGUUAUAUCCAACGAUUUUAGAUUUUAGAAAAUUUCAAAUUAAGAAGUACAUAGCGAUGUCAAACGUCUCGACGUGUUAGAUUUCUAUCCCGAUUUGCCGAUGGUUUCAGAAUCGAAGAAGAAACACUGUUGUGGGUCAGAAUGCCAGACGCUUCACGUAUGCGUAAUCCGUACAGCUUUUGUUGUCUGGAUCAGGGUGCCAUUUGUAAUGUUUUUUUUAUUGCUCAUUGGGGCACUCAUCGAGAGGUGAUUGUUCCCAUUCAGAUGGGUAGGAAACUUGAUCAUGGAUAUGUCUCACAAAGGGAUGACCUUUUGAACCAGUCGUUUGUUAGUCGUUAAAAUCGUACUGUUGCCGUUAUUGUUGACAUCUUCAACGAACCGUGGCACAAUGUUUCGGUUUGGCGACAGAAGUGGACUAGAGAUGAUGUUUUGUUCAAUACCAUUAGUGGUGUUGGCGCCAUUAGCGUUGAUUUGGUUUAGUUUGUGGACGUUACCGUGGUGUGGGAUAGAGAACAUUGGCUGCUUUGCUGUACACCGCGGAUGAAGGAGUGGUGGCUUGAGACUUUAUGUACGGAGAAAAAUUACAAAGAGGUGACGAUUCCGACAUGGAUCCACUGCUUUCUGGAAUUUGGCUCUUUGGGUUGGUAGAUAUCAACCUGACUGCGUUGCUGACGCAAUGCUUCCUUGCAUUCCAUGUAAAACGAGUAUUGAAAGAUGCUGCAUGAUACAAUUUGAAUGAAUUAUAGUGAUCAGGUAUACCUGUAAGUUUGAAUAUUUCCUAGCGUUCGCAUCUGUUCUUCGGACUUGGUUCUAUAUUCUUCUUUCUUUGUUUUUAAGAGGCUUUAAACUUUGCAGUUCAUUCGCCUCUAGGUUCUAUCAAAUUUUAAAUCAUCUUCUAGAGAAAUAUCGACGCUACAAAUGAAUGAAUAGGAUAAUUGACUUUGAUUUUUUCCGAAUGCGUUUAUAUUACUUACUCUUAUUCGACAGCUUCUUCUGCUCGAGAUGAUUCUGCAGCGCGAUGUCGAAGUUUCACCGGCAGGGCAGUGAUGUUGUUGCAGCUGAUAUCAAGGAAUACCAGCUGCAGCACGGUGAGAUCCUGGGGCAGAUAGACGAGCUGAUUGUUGCGCAGAGUGAGCGAACGCAAAUUCCGUACCCAGUCGGGGAGGAAGAUGAGUGAUUUGGUUCCAGGCGGCAUCGAGCUCGAUCAGCUCCUCCAUCCGACCAAACUCAAAAUCAAAAUCAAAACAGGAGUGUGAAAUGUAAACACCUGUCAUCGAUGUCGAUAAUGUAGAUUAUAGUUUAGUAAAAUACGACGAAUGGUUCGCUCGAAAACAAGGAUGGGAUUCGUGUACGUUUCCUAUUCGUACGAAAACCAGAAUAAGGAUGAUGAUUUUUGACAUUAAAAUUUGAUGCGGGGUGAUUUGGUCCAGUGUGUGUUUCAUCGAAAAAACAUACUUAUGUUUAUGUAAAGUAUUUUGGCAUAAUGUUACGAUCAGUAACAGUAUUCUGGGAUCGAUUCCAGGUGUCUUGGCCAGAUUCCAGACCAGAACAAUUGGAUUGAGUCCAUUUAGAAUUCUGCAUGGAUCUUUUCAUUGUUGUUCGAACAUUUUCAAACACUUUCGAUGCUUGGUCAAAGAAAAUCCGUUUUUGGUGGCCUGCGUUGCUCUUCCAAGCUAUUCCUUCUUUCAACGUUGUCUACCCAUCCUUCUUUUUGUAAUUCAGCGAGAUCUGAAAUCAAUUAGACCAAAGAAAAGCCUCAAACAGUUCGCUGUCAGGUGUAACAUAUGUCGAGCUUGAAUUGUUUCAAAAAUUUCGGCUUCUUUAGACGAUUUUGACCAUUCUUGUAAUUCUCGAUGAAAAUGACCAAUGCAUUCCAACAUUCCCUCUUCCAUCGUUGGAUCGGGUCCGGAAGGUCAUUUGCCUGGUUUGCUCCUCUCAUGAGGAAUUCUCCUUUCAGUAGCAAAUUUUUAGUCGUUGGAUUUUAAUAAAACCUUCUUAAUGGCCAUUUCGACUAGACUAUUCCUUUUAACAGCGAAAAAAAUUACCAGUGCAUUGAGUCUGAUCACAACAUUAGUCAGAGAUCGUCCUUUGAUUUGCAAAUAUUCUGCGCUAGAUUUAUGUAGUACAACGUAUCAGAAGUACCGAUAACACAGAAGUAUUAAAUCAUAAUAUUUUGGUGCACCGUGCACAUGAUCCAGUAUUUGAAUCGCACAAUACUCCAGUGGCUGUGAUCAGCCCAUAAAUUGGUUUUACAGCAUUAUCCACUCCACCCAGUUUGCAAUAAUCUUUCAACAACACACCUGUGUGACUGCGAAAAGCGAGUGAACAGAUUAAACAGUUCUAAAAAUCUCACACGCUGGUUUAGAGGCGAAUGAACUGAAAAGUUUAAAGCCUCUUUAAUUCAACAUCAUCAUCAUCAUCACACGCUGUAGAUUUCCAAAAUCAUGUUGUCCUCAUAUGUUGUCUAGCAACCCUAUGGAUACGGAUUUUUUGUUUUGUUUUCUCAACAAAACCUGAACUCCUUCGUUUGAUCCUGACAUGGUUGGAGCGGUCAACUUAGUAAUCAUUUGUUUGAAGUUGCAUCUAAAUCAAUUCUCAAUAAAUGGAUGAAUGGAUAUUUUGUUUUCUCUUGAAAUUGUCUUGCGUUCUUUUCAAAUACAGGGUUUUCCAUUUCGGGCUUCCGAAAGUAUACAGCCCUACGCUGACAACCGUUUGACAUAGCUGUCAACCAAAGCGUCAUAUCGUUAGUUGAAUGUCUACCAUUUUACAAUAUGGAUCUUUUUAGCUUCGCACAACGUGUUAAUUUUGUUAAAUUAUACUAUAAAAAUGAUGAAAACCCGGCAAAUGUUUUUCGAGCAUUACGGACGGAUUUUGGUCGUCAUGGACGGCAUACAGAGCACACAAUCGCUAAUGUAGUGCGUAAAUUCGAACAAACUGGAUCCGUAGCGGAUAUUGUGAAAACUGUGCAUCAUCGUAAUGUGCGUUCGGCCGAAAAUAUUGCUGCUGUUGCUACCAGUGUGGACGAUGACCCGAAUGUUUCGAUUCCACGGCGUGCUCAGCAAUUGGGCUUGUCAAACACAUCAUUGUGGCGAAUUUUGCAUUUGGACUUGCAGCAAAAUGCUGAAUUUUCGCAUCAAAUUUUCUUCAGCGAUGAGGCACAUUUCGAGCUCGGUGGCUAUGUGAACACCCAAAAUUUCCGUAUAUGGGGCUCAGAAAAUCCACACGUGAUUGUUGAGAGGCCAUUGCAUCCGCCAAAAGUCACUGUUUGGUGCGCAUUAUUCUCUGGUGGAGUCAUCGGGCCGUAUUUCUUUGAAAAUGAGGACGGCGAGACGAUUGAAGAUAUGAAUACGGAUGACAUGUGGUUUCAGCAGGACGGCGCCACGUGCCACACAACACGACCGAACAUGGCCAUAUUGCGAACGAAAUUUGAGGGAUGCAUAAUUUCGCGUUUUGGUGAUGCCAAUUGACCGUCCAGAUCAUGCGAUUUGAACCCGCUAGACUUUUUUUUUGUGGGGUUAUGCGAAAGACCGUGUCUAUGCCAACUCUCCGCAAACUUUUGACCAUUUGAAAGACAACAUUCGUGAAGUUAUGGCCGAGAUACCGCCCCAUAUGUACCGAAAAGUCAUCGAAAAUUACCUGUUCCGGAUCAAGGUGUGCGAGGAAGCCCUAGGUGGACAUUUGAAUGAUGUUGUAUUUCACACAUAA